This 252-nucleotide ribosomal RNA is filed under the name uncultured bacterium. Its description in RNAcentral is "partial 16S ribosomal RNA". It matches the Rfam family "Bacterial small subunit ribosomal RNA", at positions 524 to 776 of the family's 1533-position model. The record is from RNAcentral.
UACGUAGGGGGCGAGCGUUAUCCGGAUUCACUGGGUGUAAAGGGAGCGUAGGCGGGGAUGCAAGUUGGGUGUCAAAACUACCGGCUCAACUGGUAGUCGCACUCAAAACUGCAGCUCUUGAGUGAAGUAGAGGCAGGCGGAAUUCCUAGUGUAGCGGUGAAAUGCGUAGAUAUUAGGAGGAACACCAGUGGCGAAGGCGGCCUGCUGGGCUUUUACUGACGCUGAGGCUCGAAAGUGUGGGGAGCAAACAGG